Molecule: ribosomal RNA, 201 nt
Filed under: uncultured bacterium
Lineage: Bacteria
Description: partial 16S ribosomal RNA
Rfam family: Bacterial small subunit ribosomal RNA
Source: RNAcentral
GCAGGCUGCAACUCGCCUCGCAUGAAGUCGGAAUUGCUAGUAAUCGCGGAUCAGCAUGCCGCGGUGAAUACGUUCUCGGGCCUUGUACACACCGCCCGUCACACCAUGAGAGUUGGAGAUACCCGAAGCCUGUGAGCUAACUUUUAGAGGCAGCAGUCGAAGGUAGAAUCAAUGAUUGGGGUGAAGUCGUAACAAGGUAUC